CGUGCAGGCGGUUUCGUAAGUCGGACGUGAAAGCUCUUGGCUCAACUGGGAGAGGUCGUUUGAUACUGCGGGACUUGAGGUUGGGAGAGGGACGUGGAAUUCCCGGUGUAGUGGUGGAAUGCGUAGAUAUCGGGAGGAACACCAGUGGCGAAGGCGGCGUCCUGGCCCACACCUGACGCUAAGACGCGAAAGCGUGGGUAGCGAACG
RNAcentral lists this ribosomal RNA (207 nucleotides) under uncultured bacterium. RNAcentral describes it as "partial 16S ribosomal RNA". It matches the Rfam family "Bacterial small subunit ribosomal RNA", at positions 568 to 774 of the family's 1533-position model. The record is from RNAcentral.